UUCCAGACUCCUACGGGAGGCAGCAGUGGGGAAUAUUGCACAAUGGGGGGAACCCUGAUGCAGCGACGCCGCGUGAAGGAAGAAGUAUUUCGGUACGUAAAGCUCUAUCAGCAGGAAAGAAAAUGACGGUACCUGACUAAGAAGCCCCGGCUAACUACGUGCCAGCAGCCGCGGUAAUACGUAGGGGGCAAGCGUUAUCCGGAUUUACUGGGUGUAAAGGGAGCGUAGACGGCAGCGCAAGUCUGGAGUGAAAUGCCGGGGCCCAACCCCGGAACUGCUCUGGAAACUGUGAAGCUGGAGUGCAGGAGAGGUAAGCGGAAUUCCUGGUGUAGCGGUGAAAUGCGUAGAUAUCAGGAGGAACACCGGCGGCGAAGGCGGCUUACUGGACUGUAACUGACGUUGAGGCUCGAAGGCGUGGGGAGCAAACAGGAUUAGAUACCCUCGUAGG
This 448-nucleotide ribosomal RNA is filed under the name uncultured bacterium. RNAcentral's name for it is "bacterial SSU rRNA". It matches the Rfam family "Bacterial small subunit ribosomal RNA", at positions 329 to 794 of the family's 1533-position model. The record is from RNAcentral.